Molecule: ribosomal RNA, 510 nt
Filed under: Triticum aestivum (bread wheat)
Lineage: Eukaryota; Viridiplantae; Streptophyta; Magnoliopsida; Poales; Poaceae
Description: partial small subunit ribosomal RNA
Source: RNAcentral
AUGGAGAACCCGAUGUUAGCGGCGGUGAUCAAUAACCUGCCCCACCUCCUGGACAACCCCGACCUCGUACAGCGCGUCCUCGACGGCGCCCGUGCAGACCUCCACCUGAACGGCCUCCACCUCGCCGAGGCGGCGGCCCAACUCAGAGACUGCUUGCGCGCCGAGGGCCAAGUCCGGACCCUCCCCGAGCCCACGGAGGAGCAACGGAUCGCGUGUGCGAUGGUCGUCGAUGCGGGCAGGGCCAGCUAUCGUUUCUUCUUGAAGCAGCACUGGCUGCUCGGCCAGCUCGUCGGGUCGCUCCUCGUGAUCCGGGCAGCCGCCUCCGCUAGGAGCCGCGCGCACCUCCUCCCCGGCGUGCUCCUCGCGGCUGUCUCGGCGGCUGUGGUCGUGUACGUCACGACCCGUGGCGUCGUGGUGCCAGGUUUCAGGAGCCUCGUGAGAUUCUGCGUCCUGACGCUGCAUUUCCUCUUCGCCCCCGAUCGGCCUCGUGCUCGUGGACGUGCUGGGUAA